This 440-nucleotide ribosomal RNA is filed under the name uncultured bacterium. Its description in RNAcentral is "partial 16S ribosomal RNA". It matches the Rfam family "Bacterial small subunit ribosomal RNA", at positions 338 to 795 of the family's 1533-position model. The record is from RNAcentral.
CCUACGGGUGGCAGCAGUAGGGAAUAUUGCUCAAUGGGGGAAACCCUGAAGCAGCAACGCCGCGUUGAGGAUGAAGGUUUUCGGAUUGUAAACUCCUUUUGAUAGAGAAGAUAAUGACGGUAUAUAACGAAUAAGCACCGGCUAACUCCGUGCCAGCAGCAGCGGUAAUACGGAGGGUGCAAGCGUUACUCGGAAUCACAGGGCGGAAAGAGCGCGUAGGCGGGAUAGCAAGUCAGAUGUGAAAUCCUAUGGCUUAACCAUAGAACUGCAUUUGAAACUGUUAUUCUAGAGUAUGGGAGAGGUAGGUGGAAUUCUUGGUGUAGGGGUAAAAUCCGUAGAGAUCAAGAGGAAUACUCAUUGCGAAGGCGACCUGCUAGAACAUAACUGACGCUGAUGCGCGAAAGCGUGGGGAGCAAACAGGAGUAGAUACCCGAGUAGUC